GUAGGUGGCAAGCGUUGUCCGGAAUUAUUGGGCGUAAAGCGCGCGCAGGCGGUUCUUUAAGUCUGAUGUGAAAGCCCACGGCUCAACCGUGGAGGGUCAUUGGAAACUGGAGAACUUGAGUACAGAAGAGGAAAGCGGAAUUCCACGUGUAGCGGUGAAAUGCGUAGAGAUGUGGAGGAACACCAGUGGCGAAGGCGGCUUUCUGGUCUGUAACUGACGCUGAGGCGCGAAAGCGUGGGGAGCAAACAGGGAUUAGAUACCCUGGUAGUCCACGCCGUAAACGAUGAGUGCUAAGUGUUAGGGGGUUUCCGCCCCCUUAGUGCUGCAGCUAACCCAUUAAGCACUCCGCCUGGGGAGUACGGCCGCAAGGCUG
Molecule: ribosomal RNA, 373 nt
Filed under: uncultured organism
Description: partial 16S ribosomal RNA
Rfam family: Bacterial small subunit ribosomal RNA
Source: RNAcentral